This 6529-nucleotide long non-coding RNA is filed under the name Arabidopsis thaliana (thale cress). RNAcentral's name for it is "long non-coding RNA (ATHA_LNC000496)". Lineage: Eukaryota; Viridiplantae; Streptophyta; Magnoliopsida; Brassicales; Brassicaceae. The record is from RNAcentral.
AAAAUUUUGCUCUCUUUAUCUCUCGAUUUGAUUCAUAAACCCUAGCUCUUAGAUUUUUUUUCCGAUCAACGAGAAUGGCGGACGCAGAAACCUUUGCUUUCCAAGCUGAGAUCAACCAGUUGCUCUCCCUCAUCAUCAAUACCUUUUACUCUAACAAGGAGAUCUUCCUUCGUGAACUCAUCAGUAACUCUUCUGAUGUACGAUCUCUAUCUCUCUACACCUUAUUUUAUACUUGUCUGUCUCGUUUGAUUGAUCUGGCUGUUCGAUCUGUAGAUUUAGGAUUGAUUAGGGUUUAGUGUUCUAGCCGAUUUUAGAAUUUUGGUUGGUAAUUGAAGUUGCGAAGCUGUUUGUGUUCAAAUCUGUUGAUUAGUUUUAGUGUUGAUACCAACGAUUAAGCAGACUCUUGUUAGAUUUACAAAGUUUGCUUAUAUGUAAUUUGUAUAUACGUUCUGUGUAUUGGUUGGUUACUUACGAUUGUGAUUUUACUCUGGUGAAAACAGGCUUUGGACAAGAUUAGGUUUGAGUCCUUGACAGACAAGAGCAAGCUCGAUGGUCAGCCAGAGCUCUUCAUUCACAUCAUUCCCGACAAGACUAACAACACCUUGACGAUUAUCGAUAGUGGUAUUGGGAUGACCAAGGCUGGUACGUAAUUGAUUUCAGUCAAAAGCAAUUUGUAUUGGUUUUCGUUGAUUAUUUAUGUGUUUGGUGUGUUGGCUAAUACGUUUUUGUUUUAUUUUUCAGAUCUGGUGAACAACCUUGGAACAAUUGCAAGAUCUGGAACCAAAGAAUUCAUGGAGGCGUUGGCUGCUGGAGCUGAUGUUAGCAUGAUUGGACAGUUUGGUGUUGGUUUCUACUCUGCUUACUUGGUUGCUGACAAGGUUGUUGUUACUACCAAGCACAAUGACGAUGAGCAGUACGUGUGGGAGUCUCAGGCCGGUGGAUCUUUCACCGUCACCAGAGACACCUCUGGUGAGGCUCUUGGUAGAGGAACUAAGAUGGUCCUUUACCUCAAGGAAGACCAGAUGGAGUACAUUGAGGAGCGAAGGCUUAAGGAUUUGGUGAAGAAGCACUCUGAGUUCAUCAGCUACCCAAUCUCUCUCUGGAUUGAGAAGACCAUUGAGAAGGAGAUCUCUGAUGAUGAAGAGGAGGAAGAGAAGAAGGAUGAGGAAGGCAAGGUUGAGGAAGUUGAUGAGGAGAAAGAAAAGGAGGAGAAGAAAAAGAAGAAGAUUAAGGAGGUUUCUCAUGAGUGGGAUUUGGUGAACAAGCAGAAACCGAUUUGGAUGAGGAAGCCAGAGGAGAUCAACAAGGAGGAGUACGCUGCUUUCUACAAGAGUUUGAGCAAUGACUGGGAAGAGCAUUUGGCUGUGAAGCAUUUCUCAGUUGAAGGACAGCUUGAGUUCAAAGCUAUCCUCUUUGUUCCCAAGAGAGCUCCUUUUGAUCUCUUUGACACUAAGAAGAAGCCCAACAACAUCAAGCUCUAUGUCCGUCGUGUCUUCAUCAUGGACAACUGUGAAGACAUCAUUCCUGAGUACCUUGGGUUUGUCAAGGGUAUUGUUGACUCUGAAGAUCUUCCUCUCAACAUCUCAAGAGAAACAUUGCAGCAGAACAAGAUCCUCAAGGUCAUCCGCAAGAACCUUGUGAAGAAGUGUCUUGAGCUCUUCUUUGAGAUUGCUGAGAACAAGGAGGACUACAACAAGUUCUAUGAGGCUUUCUCUAAGAACCUGAAGCUCGGUAUCCAUGAGGACUCCCAAAACAGAACCAAGAUUGCUGAGUUGCUCCGUUACCACUCAACCAAGAGCGGUGAUGAAUUGACCAGUCUCAAGGACUACGUGACAAGGAUGAAGGAAGGUCAGAACGAUAUCUUCUAUAUCACUGGUGAGAGCAAGAAGGCUGUUGAGAACUCUCCAUUCCUUGAGAAGCUCAAGAAGAAGGGUAUUGAAGUUCUCUACAUGGUUGACGCUAUCGAUGAGUAUGCUAUUGGUCAGCUCAAGGAAUUCGAAGGAAAGAAGCUUGUCUCUGCAACCAAGGAAGGUCUGAAACUGGAUGAGACUGAAGACGAGAAGAAGAAGAAAGAAGAGCUCAAGGAGAAGUUUGAGGGACUCUGCAAAGUGAUCAAGGACGUUUUGGGAGACAAGGUUGAGAAGGUUAUCGUCUCUGACCGUGUUGUGGACUCACCCUGCUGUCUUGUAACAGGCGAGUAUGGCUGGACUGCAAACAUGGAGAGGAUCAUGAAAGCUCAAGCCUUGAGAGACAGCAGCAUGGGUGGCUACAUGUCGAGCAAGAAGACAAUGGAGAUUAACCCAGAGAACUCCAUCAUGGAUGAGCUGAGAAAGAGAGCUGAUGCAGACAAGAACGACAAGUCUGUGAAGGACCUUGUACUUCUUCUCUUUGAGACCGCUCUUCUCACUUCUGGUUUCAGCCUCGAUGAGCCCAACACUUUCGGGAGCAGGAUUCACAGGAUGUUGAAGCUUGGAUUGAGCAUUGAUGACGAUGAUGUUGUUGAAGCCGAUGCUGACAUGCCUCCACUUGAAGAUGAUGCCGAUGCUGAAGGUAGCAAGAUGGAGGAAGUUGACUAAAUUAUCACACACAGUCGACUUAAUCAUUAGGGGUGUUGAGACAUUGGUUAUCUUUUUAUCUUUUUUUUUUAUGUUUUCGUUUGAACUAAUAUUUUGGAACUAUUUUCUGGAGUUUAUUUCUUCUAUCGCUUGUUUUCGUGAAGAUUUUUUCUCUGAAUUCGGUUUGAUGACAAAGGUUCUCUUAUGCACAAUCUUGCAAAUCCAAGCUUAUUUUGGUUAUGUAGCCUAUAACUAAGUUAUUAGUAUGACUAAUAUGGCUAAUAAAAUACAUGAAGCAGCUCCAAAUCAUAUUGUUAAGCAUCUCAGACAACACAGCUUACAUAUUCUUUACAAUAAUAAAUAAUUUAUUGUUCGACAUAAUACUGUUGUUACUGUUUGACUUAGCGUUAAUUUUCUGCACAAAUGUUGUUACUACUUUGAUUAAAAAGGAUAAUUUGUGUAACAAUUUUUUGGUCAGUUUUAAAGGUUAUUAUUAUUUUUUUAAAUAACUUUUACGAUUAGAAUAUGAGUAGUGCAACGCAAAAUAACACUGCCGUUUAAGACGACGGUCCCUUGACAGAAUCUUCAUCAACGCUCGAUUUGACGUCUGCCGAUUUCCUUAGCUCCGACGUAAACCACUGAUCGUCGGUAUUCAGCUAUAUUUUGAUUUCUCAGCUCCAAAAAUUCCCAACGAAAUGGAGAAAAUGGCCAAAGGAUGGUUUCCGAUGAGCGGCACUAGUAGCAGCGGAGAUCAGCAGCAGCAACCGCUGCAAACAGGAGGAACGUCUCUGCUAGCUGAUUGGAAUUCUUACGCAGCAUCGAGAGAUUUUGAAGAAGACACCGGAACUUUAGGCUUCGAUAUCGAAUCCGCCGUUAGAUCUGCCAACGACACUGUUUCCGGCACCUUUAAUGUGUAAUCCAUCCAUCUCUUUCUCUUAAUCUUUAGGGGUUUAACGAUUGAUCGUGACCGUAUCUGAGAAAUUAGGCGUUUUCGCCUGCUAUUGAGGAUUGGAUUGGUGUAAAUUAAAUCUGGAAUCUGAGAAAUUGUGAUUAACCAUAUAGUUUAAGCUUUGCCAGAUUCGUUGAUCAGAUUUACAAAUUCUCAGGGUUUGAAGCUAUUGUUAGUGAAUGAUUUUGAUUAGUGUCUUCUCUCAAUGACUUAGAAUUGAUUAAGAGUCUUAAGCAUAUCUUUUUCUUGAAGUGUUACUAACUUUUUGAUUUUGAAUUUUGUUGUACUCAAAUCUGGAUUGUUAACAGUGUUUCGAAAGGAGUUAGAGAUAACCUGCAGUCUGCAACAAGUAGUAUGCCUUCAGGAAAAGCUUUGAUGUAUUUCGGUUUACUUCUAGCAAGUGGUGUAUUCUUCAUCUUCAUUGCCUUCACCAUGUUUCUUCCAGUCAUGGUGCUUAUGCCACAGAAGUUUGCAAUUUGUUUUACCCUUGGAUGUGGAUUUAUCAUCGGAUCUUUCUUCGCUCUUCGUGGCCCGCAAAAUCAACUCGCUCACAUGUCAUCGGCAGAGGUAAUAACUAAUAACAAAACCUUGUGUUGUGCAGCUUCUUAUAUCUGCUGUAUUUCGUUUACAUUUUUCUCUUUGGAAUUUUAAUUUCUUGUUUGCUGGCUUCUCCAGAGGCUUCCACUAACUUUAGGUUUCAUUGCCACCAUGGUUGGCACCAUAUAUGUCUCGAUGGUGCUCCAUAGCUACAUUCUCUCUGUGAUUUUCUCUGCAUUACAGGUACUUAAAUUUCAUCUUCCUUCCCGACUCUUGUUGGUGUUUAUAUCCUCUGUUUUUCAUAUGUUAAAAUUUUCCUCUUCCCCAUUUCACAAAUCUUACCUAUGAAGUUCUUUUUUACCCUGCAUGUUUCAUCUAGUAAGCUCUUGCCUCGUCGAAACAUAAUGUGUUUAGUAAAAAACAUGUAGACUUUCUUAUUGCUGUUUUAAAAUACAAGUUGGGUUAGUAUGAAUUAUGAAGAAGCCUUGAACGCCAUAUCUUUGGUUGGUCUCUUGGCUUGUUUUUGCAAAUGCACUUACUUGCGACAGAAACAGCUUUGAUAUAUUAUUACUCACCCGUUAUCGAUAUGGAAUAUAUACUUUAAGAACUCACUAAAUCAUAUCCUUCAUGUCGGUUUAAAGAUUAGUCACGUAUCUGCACAUUCUGUAAGUAUAGUAAUCUCAUAAAAAACCUGGUCUCUGUUCUCUGUGAAUCCAUAGGUUAUUGCACUGGCGUACUACUGUAUAUCAUAUUUCCCUGGUGGAUCAUCGGGAAUGAAGUUCCUCAGUUCUACUCUUACCUCCUCUGUCUUCCGAAUGUUUGGGAGAUGAGCUUUCGCUUUGACCUAUGCAAAGAAAAUAACUUGAUUCUCUCGUGUAUAAAGAAAGAUGAAAGAUCUUCAACAGUGGUUAAAUGACAAAUCUGGUAAAAUAUGUUGGUCCAAUGGCUCAAAGACAGUUUUGUUAUAAAUUUCCUAUAUUGAUACUUUCUGCUAAAUUGGUUCAAAACUUCAAAUCACUAGCCACUGGAUGAGGUAUGGAACUUGAAGAGUUGCUUGGUGGAUACAUUCUCUAAUCUAGGGUAAGUCGUUAGCUUCAAUGUCUUACUGUGAAUUAUUACAUCAGAAUUAAGAAAGUUAUUACACGUAUGUUUUCACUGAGUUUACUACACUGGCAAUGUGGCAUACAUCUCUUACUGCAAAUUGCAGACAAGUGGUCAAUCAAAUCUUUUUUAGUUGGGCCCAAAAUGUCUGUUAUUGGAUACGUUGGGCCUUAAAAUGGCCCCCAUCAGUCAAAAACAUCACUGCUUGGAGAAGGAUCUAGAAAAACUUGCAAGUUAGUUCAAACAAAAUAAAGGAAAAAGAACGAUCUAGAAGAAAGAAAAAAAAAGGAAAAGAAACCCUUAUGGAGGUUCCCACACCACUCUAUAUAUAAUAACAUCCUUCUCCUAAAUCCCGCAUCAGUACUUCUCUCUGCUCUCAAGAUAAUUUUGUUCUCUCAAUUUCAUUCUUAAACCCUAGUUCUUCGAUUUUUUCCGAUCUACGACAAUGGCGGACGCUGAAACCUUUGCUUUCCAAGCUGAGAUCAACCAGUUGCUUUCCCUCAUCAUCAAUACCUUUUACUCUAACAAGGAGAUCUUCCUCCGUGAACUCAUCAGUAACUCUUCUGAUGUACGAUCUCUAUCUCUCUCUACCUUAUUGUAUACUUGUGUAUCUCGUUUGAUUGAUUUGGCGGAUGGAUCUGUAGAUUUAGGUUUGGUUAGGGUUUAGUGUUCUUUCCGUUGGGAGAAUUUUGGUUACUUACUGAAGUUGCGAAGCUUUUUGUGUACAAAUCUAUUGUUUAGGUUUAGUGUUGAUACCAAGGAUUUAAGUAGUUUCUUGUUAGAUUACCAAGUUUUCGAUUGCUUAUAGUUGAUUUGCAUACAUAUUAUGUGUAUUGUUUGCUUACGAUUGUGAUUCUAUUCUGGUGAAAACAGGCUUUGGACAAGAUUAGAUUCGAGUCCUUGACGGACAAGAGCAAGCUCGAUGGUCAGCCUGAGCUCUUCAUUCACAUCAUUCCCGACAAGACUAACAACACCUUGACCAUUAUUGAUAGUGGUAUUGGCAUGACCAAGGCUGGUACGUAAUUGAUUUCAUCCUAAAUCAAUUUGUUUCGAUUUUGUUGUUGUUUGUUAGUCUUGCAUCUGUGUUUGUUUUGUUGGCUAAUUCGUGCUUCUUCUAUUAGAUUUGGUCAACAACCUUGGAACAAUUGCAAGAUCUGGAACCAAGGAAUUCAUGGAAGCACUGGCUGCUGGAGCUGAUGUUAGCAUGAUUGGUCAGUUUGGUGUUGGUUUCUACUCUGCUUACUUGGUUGCUGACAAGGUUGUUGUUACUACCAAGCACAAUGACGAUGAGCAGUACGUGUGGGAGUCUCAGGCCGGGGGAUCUUUCACUGUGACCAGAGACACCUCUGGGGAGACUCUUGGUAGAGGAACAAAGAUGGUUCUUUAC